Molecule: ribosomal RNA, 301 nt
Filed under: uncultured bacterium
Lineage: Bacteria
Description: partial 16S ribosomal RNA
Rfam family: Bacterial small subunit ribosomal RNA
Source: RNAcentral
CAGCAGCCGCGGGAAUACGUAGGGUGCGAGCGUUAAUCGGAAUUACUGGGCGUAAAGCGUGCGCAGGCGGUUGUGUAAGACAGGUGUGAAAUCCCCGGGCUUAACCUGGGAAUUGCGCUUGUGACUGCACAGCUAGAGUAUGGCAGAGGGGGGUGGAAUUCCACGUGUAGCAGUGAAAUGCGUAGAGAUGUGGAGGAACACCGAUGGCGAAGGCAGCCCCCUGGGCCAAUACUGACGCUCAUGCACGAAAGCGUGGGGAGCAAACAGGAUUAGAUACCCCCGUAGUCCCUGUCUCUUAUAC